GGAGUCUGGGCCGUAUCUCAGUCCCAAUGUGGCCGUUCAACCUCUCAGUCCGGCUACUGAUCGUCGACUUGGUGGGCCGUUACCCCGCCAACUAUCUAAUCAGACGCGAGGCCAUCUCAGAGCGAUAAAUCUUUGGCAACAAAACCAUGCGAUUUCAUUGCAUCAUGCGGUAUUAGCAGCCGUUUCCAGCUGUUGUCCCCCUCUCCAAGGCAGGUUCCUCACGCGUUACUCACCCGUCCGCCACUUUCCUCUGCUUCCAUUGUCCGAAAACUCUUUCCACAGAUUCUCGUUCGACUUGCAUGUGUUAAGCACGCCGCCAGCGUUCGUUCCUGAGCCACUGAUCAAACUACU
RNAcentral lists this ribosomal RNA (351 nucleotides) under uncultured Oscillospira sp. RNAcentral's name for it is "partial 16S ribosomal RNA". The record is from RNAcentral. Lineage: Bacteria; Bacillati; Bacillota; Clostridia; Eubacteriales; Oscillospiraceae.